Gadus chalcogrammus (walleye pollock) is the source of this 250-nucleotide long non-coding RNA. RefSeq lists it as uncharacterized. The transcript has 5 exons. The record is from RefSeq and is a predicted model, not a curated record. Lineage: Eukaryota; Metazoa; Chordata; Actinopteri; Gadiformes; Gadidae.
AAGAAGAAGAAUCCUAAUAAAACACGGGAGAGAUCGUGGUUCAGUCAGUCCAACUUUCAAGACGGAAUAGAUAGAAGAUGGAACGUCCUCUUAAUGCAGAACACAAAGGUCGGACAAUGCAGGCUAAAUCCAAGAUUGUAUGGACAGAACAAGGAAGAUGACUGCAUAGUUGACUGGUGGAAAUGUAAACUAGCUCCACAAACCUGGACUUCAGCCAGUUGGUCCAAUGGAAAACACUGUUGAGGCAAGU